GACGAACGCUGGCGGCGUGCUUAACACAUGCAAGUCGAGCGGUAAGGCCCUUCGGGUACACGAGCGGCGAACGGGUGAGUAACACGUGGGUGACCUGCCUUUAGCUCUGGGAUAAGCCUGGGAAACUGGGUCUAAUACCGGAUAUGACCUCAUGACGCAUGUUGUGGGGUGGAAAGCCUUGUGCGGCUAGAGAUGGGCCCGCGGCCUAUCAGCUUGUUGGUGGGGUGAUGGCCACCAAGGCGACGACGGGUAGCCGGCCUGAGAGGGCGACCGGCCACACUGGGACUGAGACACGGCCCAGACUCCUACGGGAGGGCAGCAGUGGGGAAUCUUGCGCAAUGGGCGAAAGCCUGACGCAGCGACGCCGCGUGAGGGAUGACGGCCU
Molecule: ribosomal RNA, 385 nt
Filed under: uncultured bacterium
Lineage: Bacteria
Description: bacterial SSU rRNA
Rfam family: Bacterial small subunit ribosomal RNA
Source: RNAcentral